GAGCGAACGCUGGCGGCGUGACUUAACACAUGCAAGUCGUGGGAGAACGGGGGGCUUCGGCUCCCUUAGUAAACCGGCGCACGGGUGAGUAACACGUAGGCAACCUGCCUCCGAGACUGGGAUAACCUAUCGAAAGAUGGGCUAAUACCGGAUAAGACCACGGGAGCUUCGGCUCUUGCGGCCAAAGGUGGCCUCUACUUGUAAGCUACCACUUGGAGAUGGGCCUGCGGGCCAUUAGCAGUUGGUGAGGUAACGGCUCACCAAGGCUACGAUGGCUAGCUGGUCUAAGAGGAUGAUCAGCCACACU
This 307-nucleotide ribosomal RNA is filed under the name uncultured bacterium. RNAcentral's name for it is "bacterial SSU rRNA". It matches the Rfam family "Bacterial small subunit ribosomal RNA", at positions 27 to 314 of the family's 1533-position model. The record is from RNAcentral.